Molecule: long non-coding RNA, 521 nt
Organism: Zea mays
Lineage: Eukaryota; Viridiplantae; Streptophyta; Magnoliopsida; Poales; Poaceae
Exons: 3
Source: RefSeq, a predicted model, not a curated record
UGGUAACACAAAAUUACAUGCUGAGUUCUUUGAAUUUUUAUGCUGUCUAGUGUCUAAUCAAAUAUGACUAAACUCCCCCCUUUUUUCCUUUGUUUUUGCUGGGACAUUUAUGGACAUCUAGCCGUUCAGAACACCGGCUAUUGCUUCGAUCAGAUAAUGCUGAUAGUCGUUUGACCCCUUUGGGACGAGAGAUUGGUUUAAUAGAUGAUAGACGUUGGGAGCUUUAUCAGUCAAAGCAAGCCCGCAUUAAGCAAGAGAAAGAACGGUUGAGAUCUACAAAAGUUCCAGGAGGUGAAUUUGCUGCUGAAGUUACUGCAGUAUCCAACCAACCUGUAAAGGAUUCAUCUACACUUGAAGCCAUAUUAAAGAAGCCACAUGUACAAUAUAAACUCCUUGACGAGCAUGGAUGCGGAAAUGAAAAUUUAUCUCGAAUUGAGAAGGAAUGUAUAGAGAUUGAUAUCAAGUAUGAAGGUUUCAUCGCACGACAACAAAGUCAAUUACAUCAGAUCGUAACAUGAUUC